GGAUGCGUUCAUACCAGCACUAAAGCACCGGAUCCCAUCAGAACUCCGCAGUUAAGCGUGCUUUGGGCGAGAGUAGUACUAGGAUGGGUGMCCUCCKGGGAAGUCCUCGUGUUGUAUCCC
This 120-nucleotide ribosomal RNA is filed under the name Helictotrichon sempervirens. The record is from RNAcentral. Lineage: Eukaryota; Viridiplantae; Streptophyta; Magnoliopsida; Poales; Poaceae.